AGACUAGUCAGAAGCUGGAUUUCAACUGGUGUGGCUCCUACAGUGACUUCAUGAUGAAAACCGGGUGUUUGCAACUGCUAAGGAUGGCGUAGCUCUGGGCAGGCAGGUGGGACCCAUUGGGUUAUGGCCAUUGACCUUUGCUUCUGUGAUGGAGGGGCAUGUGCCUCUGCUGCCCAGUAUGGACCAAUGCACUGAGCUGACAUCAGUGAGAAACUCCUGUGCUGCAGCACGAGAGGCUCGCCUGGAAUGCUGUGGCUUGGGAGGAGGAUGAGCUCAUGGCACAGACGGGGAG
Long non-coding RNA from Centrocercus urophasianus (Greater sage-grouse), 292 nucleotides. RefSeq lists it as uncharacterized. The record is from RefSeq and is a predicted model, not a curated record. The transcript is spliced from 3 exons. NCBI's taxonomy places the organism in Eukaryota, Metazoa, Chordata, Aves, Galliformes, Phasianidae.